AGCAGCCGCGGUAAUUCCAGCUCCAAUAGCGUAUAUUAAAGUUGCUGCAGUUAAAAAGCUCGUAGUUGAAUUUCGGGACCAUCAUGUCGGUCGUGCCUCGGUACGUACUGGCAUUGUUGGUUUCUCCCUUCUGACGAACUAUGAUGUCAUUUAUUUGGUGUCGUGGGAAAUCAGGACUGUUACUUUGAAAAAAUUAGAGUGUUUAAAGCAGGCUCACGCUUGAAUACAUUAGCAUGGAAUAAUGAAAUAGGACGUUUGAUUCUAUUUUGUUGGUUUCUAGGAUCGACGUAAUGAUUAAUAGGGAUAGUUGGGGGCAUUAGUAUUCAAUUGUCAGAGGUGAAAUUCUUGGAUUUAUUGAAGACUAACUACUGCGAAAGCAUUUGCCAAGGAUGUUUUCAUUAAUCAAGAACGAAAGUUAGGGGAUCGAAGACGAUCAGAUACCGUCGUAGUCUUAACCAUAAACUAUGCCGACUAGGGAUCGGAUGAUGUUAAUUUUUUAAUGACUCA
Molecule: ribosomal RNA, 507 nt
Filed under: Glomus sp. Glo53
Lineage: Eukaryota; Fungi; Glomeromycota; Glomeromycetes; Glomerales; Glomeraceae
Description: SSU rRNA
Rfam family: Eukaryotic small subunit ribosomal RNA
Source: RNAcentral